This 446-nucleotide ribosomal RNA is filed under the name uncultured bacterium. RNAcentral describes it as "partial 16S ribosomal RNA". It matches the Rfam family "Bacterial small subunit ribosomal RNA", at positions 329 to 792 of the family's 1533-position model. The record is from RNAcentral.
GCCCAGACUCCUACGGGAGGCAGCAGUGGGGAAUAUUGCACAAUGGGGGAAACCCUGAUGCAGCGACGCCGCGUGAGCGAUGAAGUAUUUCGGUAUGUAAAGCUCUAUCAGCAGGGAAGAAAAUGACGGUACCUGACUAAGAAGCCCCGGCUAACUACGUGCCAGCAGCCGCGGUAAUACGUAGGGGGCAAGCGUUAUCCGGAUUUACUGGGUGUAAAGGGAGCGUAGACGGCUUGGCAAGCCAGAUGUGAAAGGCUGGGGCUCAACCCCAGGACUGCAUUUGGAACUGUCAUGCUAGAGUGUCGGAGAGGCAAGUGGAAUUCUUAGUGUAGCGGUGAAAUGCGUAGAUAUUAGGAGGAACACCAGUGGCGAAGGCGGCUUGCUGGACGAUGACUGACGUUGAGGCUCGAAAGCGUGGGGAGCAAACAGGAUUAGAUACCCCGGUA